GAGGGUAUAGCUCAGUAUGGUAUGGUAGAGUGCAUGCAUGCACGAGGUCCUGGGUUCAAUCCCCAGUACCUCCA
Molecule: transfer RNA, 74 nt
Filed under: Camelus bactrianus (Bactrian camel)
Lineage: Eukaryota; Metazoa; Chordata; Mammalia; Artiodactyla; Camelidae
Also listed under: 2 other names
Rfam family: tRNA
About the family: Transfer RNA (tRNA) molecules are approximately 80 nucleotides in length.
Source: Rfam by way of RNAcentral